This 465-nucleotide ribosomal RNA is filed under the name uncultured Klebsiella sp. RNAcentral's name for it is "bacterial SSU rRNA". It matches the Rfam family "Bacterial small subunit ribosomal RNA", at positions 338 to 795 of the family's 1533-position model. The record is from RNAcentral. Lineage: Bacteria; Pseudomonadati; Pseudomonadota; Gammaproteobacteria; Enterobacterales; Enterobacteriaceae.
CCUACGGGGGGCUGCAGUGGGGAAUAUUGCACAAUGGGCGCAAGCCUGAUGCAGCCAUGCCGCGUGUGUGAAGAAGGCCUUCGGGUUGUAAAGCACUUUCAGCGGGGAGGAAGGCGUUAAGGUUAAUAACCUUGGCGAUUGACGUUACCCGCAGAAGAAGCACCGGCUAACCCCGUGCCAGCAGCCGCGGUAAUACGGAGGGUGCAAACGUUAAUCGGAAUUACUGGGCGUAAAGCGCACGCAGGCGGUCUGUCAAGUCGGAUGUGAAAUCCCCGGGCUCAACCUGGGAACUGCAUUCGAAACUGGCAGGCUAGAGUCUUGUAGAGGGGGGUAGAAUUCCAGGUGUAGCGGUGAAAUGCGUAGAGAUCUGGAGGAAUACCGGUGGCGAAGGCGGCCCCCUGGACAAAGACUGACGCUCAGGUGCGAAAGCGUGGGGAGCAAACAGGAUUAGAUACCCGAGUAGUC